GUUGACACGCGCAAAUCAGAGUGAGAAGUAGAGCGACCGAUUUUCCGAUUUGCUAAUGGAUCCCGACGCCGUAGCGAAGGCAUUUGUGGACUACUACUACACCACCUUCGAUACCAAUCGGGCUGGACUUGCUAGCGUCUACCAGGAAAGCUCUGUACUGUCUUUUGAGGGUCAGAAGUAUCAGGGGACUCAAAGUAUCUCCGGUAAGCUCACCGGUCUACCUUUCCAGCAGUGCAAGCACCAGAUCAACACCGUUGAUUGUCAGCCCUCUGGUGCUGCCGGGGGAAUGCUUGUCUUUGUCAGCGGCAAUCUCAGCCUUCCAGGCGAACAACACGCCCUCAAGUUCAGUCAGAUG
Molecule: unclassified non-coding RNA, 355 nt
Filed under: Hevea brasiliensis (rubber tree)
Lineage: Eukaryota; Viridiplantae; Streptophyta; Magnoliopsida; Malpighiales; Euphorbiaceae
Source: RNAcentral